This 867-nucleotide long non-coding RNA is filed under the name Gallus gallus (chicken). Its description in RNAcentral is "long non-coding RNA NONGGAT003812". The record is from RNAcentral. Lineage: Eukaryota; Metazoa; Chordata; Aves; Galliformes; Phasianidae.
GUCAACUGGGGGUGUGGGUGUAGUGCCAGCGAAGUCUUGCGUGUAUUAAGCCUCCCUUGCAUUUCACGUCAAGGCAAGCCUCCCACAUCUGAGAAGCAGAGUAUAUGCCCUAGAGUGCAGCUGCAUGAUGAUACACUCCCUGGAUGUACAGUUAUCACAAAAGGAAUUACGAGAGAAACAAUGACUUAGAUGAGCACAGUAGAAAAUGCAAGCAGGAAACCUUUGAGAUGGCCAUUAGAGAAUUUGGCAAGGAGUUGCUUCACGAGCAUUAAGGAGUCUUUCACACAAGAUGCCCCUACUUGUGGAAGUCAUUAAAUCUAUGAAAUGUAAACCUUAAAAAUGAAAGCAAGAAGUGUCAGACCAGAAGAUCCUAAAGCAAUAGGCAAGGAAUUUGUUCAGGAACAAGGAAACGCAGCACCCGAGAAACAAAUGUGAUUCAGCGUGUUGGAGGCAUCAUGUUCCCCAGAUCUGAUCUGUUCCUGAUUUCACUGAAAUUAAAGGCUGUGUUGUGUUUGGUUUCUGUCACAGGGGAGUUGGGCUCACAGGAGCUGAGCAGAUGCCCUGGUGAUACGCUAGUUAAGCUGUUGCAGAAUGACUCAAGUGACUCUGACUUGGGCUAAAAGAGGAUCUAGUCUAAUAAGCGGGGUUGCAUUUUUGCCCUUGGUAACACGGUUGUGACUUGCACAGCUGUCUGCUGGAGAUUUAUACUGUGCUCUUUUCAAAUGUUCCCAUCAGCACUCCCACUCAGGCACUAGGCAGACUGAGUGAGUUCCCCUGUGUUUCGGGGGACUCAUACCACCAUGGUGUCAGACUUCCUUGACCUCUCAAAACAAAGGCCUCAGAUAAAAAAGAUCUGCUGGCUUCCCC